UACGUAGGGUGCGAGCGUUAAUCGGAAUUACUGGGCGUAAAGCGUGCGCAGGCGGUUUUUCAAGUCUGAUGUGAAAGCCCCGGGCUUAACCUGGGAACUGCGUUGGAAACUGAAAGACUAGAGUGCGGCAGAGGGGGGUAGAAUUCCCGGUGUAGCAGUGAAAUGCGUAGAGAUCGGGAGGAACAUCUGUGGCGAAGGCGGCCACCUGGACCAGCACUGACACUGAGGCACGAAAGCGUGGGGAGCAAACAGG
Molecule: ribosomal RNA, 253 nt
Filed under: uncultured bacterium
Lineage: Bacteria
Description: partial 16S ribosomal RNA
Rfam family: Bacterial small subunit ribosomal RNA
Source: RNAcentral